RNAcentral lists this long non-coding RNA (240 nucleotides) under Monodelphis domestica (gray short-tailed opossum). RNAcentral describes it as "lncRNA (ENSMODG00000033890.2)". Lineage: Eukaryota; Metazoa; Chordata; Mammalia; Didelphimorphia; Didelphidae. The record is from RNAcentral.
UAGAAUUGUUGGAACUAGAUAAUUCAUCACUCUGUGGCCAAGAUGAGCCUCCCACCAUUUCUGGAAGCUGGAACUAGGACAAGGAACAGAUAGCCAUUAAAUUCAACUUUACCAACUUGAAUCGCCCAAUCCACAGAUGAAGUGGGGGAAAGCAGUGGCGAGAACGGAGAUUAUAUGACAAUAAAAUUUUUAAAUAAUUGUUUCUGAUAUUUUGCAAACCAAGUUCUCUCCUUCCAUCUC